UUCGGUAUAGUGUAAUAGUUAACAGAUCUGGUUCUCACCUAGGAGCUCGGGGUUCGAUUCCCUGUCUUGGAG
Molecule: non-coding RNA, 72 nt
Organism: Hypoxylon sp. FL1150
Lineage: Eukaryota; Fungi; Ascomycota; Sordariomycetes; Xylariales; Hypoxylaceae
Source: the annotation of a GenBank genome assembly